UAGCAGCUAUAGGGAUCACAAGGA
Molecule: non-coding RNA, 24 nt
Filed under: Mus musculus (house mouse)
Lineage: Eukaryota; Metazoa; Chordata; Mammalia; Rodentia; Muridae
Source: RNAcentral